ANGUUUCCGUAGGUGACCUGCGGAAGGAUCAUUAACGAGUUAGGGUCUUCCAGGCCCGACCUCCCAACCCUUAUGUUUAUUGAACCUCUGUUGCUUCGGCGGACCCGUCUCACGACCGCCGGAGGACCGCCGCGAGGCGUCCUCUGGCCAGCGUCCGCCGAUGGCCAACCACUUAACUCUGAAUGAAUCGUGUCAUUAUGUCUAAGUCUAUGAUUAAAUUAAAGCAAAACUUUCAACAACGGAUCUCUUGGUUCUGGCAUCGAUGAAGAACGCAGCGAAAUGCGAUAAGUAAUGCGAAUUGCAGAAUUCCAGUGAGUCAUCGAAUCUUUGAACGCACAUUGCGCCCUUUGGUAUUCCGAAGGGCAUGCCUGUUCGAGCGUCAUUAUCACCCCUCAAGCCCUGUGCUUGGUGUUGGACGGCCGGUCGAGCGAUCGACCCCUCCUAAAGACAAUGACGGCGGCCUGUGGUUCCCCCGGUACACUGAGCUUCUCACCGAGCACGUAUCGGACAAGGGCACCCGGGACCCCGGUCUUCUCCUUUCACAAAAGGAAACUUUCUAUGGUUGACCUCGGAUCAGGUAGGAAUACGCGCUGAACUUAAGCAUAUCAAUAAGCGCAGGAAAAGAAACCAACAGGGAUUACCUCAGUAACGGCGAGUGAAGCGGUAAUAGCUCAAAUUUGAAAUCUGGCCUUUUGGGGUCCGAGUUGUAAUUUGUAGAGGAUGUUUUGGGUACCGCCCCGGUCUAAAUUUCUUGGAACAGAAUGUCAAAGAGGGUGAGAAUCCCGUCUUGGACCGGCGGUAGGGCCUGUGUAAAACUCCUUCGACGAGUCGAGUUGUUUGGGAAUGCAGUUCAAAAUGGGUGGUAAAUUUCAUCUAAAGCUAAAUAUUGGCCAGAGACCGAUAGCGCACAAGUAGAGUGAUCGAAGAUGAAAAGCACUUUG
RNAcentral lists this ribosomal RNA (941 nucleotides) under uncultured fungus. Its description in RNAcentral is "eukaryotic LSU rRNA". The stretch from base 564 to 941 matches the Rfam family "Eukaryotic large subunit ribosomal RNA", at positions 1 to 378 of the family's 3401-position model. Lineage: Eukaryota; Fungi. The record is from RNAcentral.